Long non-coding RNA from Alligator mississippiensis (American alligator), 748 nucleotides. RefSeq lists it as uncharacterized. Lineage: Eukaryota; Metazoa; Chordata; Crocodylia; Alligatoridae. The record is from RefSeq and is a predicted model, not a curated record. The transcript has 3 exons.
CCGUGUGCUAGGGGGAGAGCUGGUCAUCAAAAGCAGCUUAGGGUUUAGCAGCCAGUGAUUUUAAGGUGCCUUGAUCCAUAUUUCCUCCAGCUGGGCCCUCCCUUCUGCACUGUAUGUCAAGGGAAAUGCAGUACGGAAACCGGCCCGUUGUUUAGAGACGAAAGGUUGCAGAUGGCUGUACAUGUAGUGAGCAGGAACAGCAGAGAGCUCCUUUCUCCAUGCAGAUACAAAGCAGAAGAACAAACAAGGAGGCCUACUAAGAGAUCUCCUGCUCUGGAGCCGGGACACGAGAUGUGCUUUGAAGAUGGGCUAGGUUCCUGGAGUCGGUGGGCAAGACUCCAGUGUUGAGAGUGUGACUGGGCAUUAACAACAGUGAUUUCCAGAAUGCCUCAUGGAUUACACAGGACUUCAAGAAACUUGGGAGGAUGCUGAGCAAUGCCCAAGUCAUCUUCUUGGAGAGCCAUCAUUUCCUGUGAGUGAAGGAAGAUAGAGGGAGCAGAGAUUCAACUAUUUUGGAAACUUUACAUGUAAGCAGAGCUUCCCAUCAAAAUCCAAACUGCCACUAUCUUCAUCUCCUUUAAACCUCCUGUACCAUAAUGCCUACAAGGUCACUGCUAUCUUGUGGUGGUCCGUUCAGUGGCCACCAACGACAACCGAGACCUACUUGAAUUUAAUAUUAUCAUGUCUUCCAGAGCCAAACUUAUAUUGAGCUUUUUUAUUAACUGUUAGGAAUGAUCAAAAUCCUAAA